RNAcentral lists this unclassified non-coding RNA (354 nucleotides) under soil metagenome. RNAcentral describes it as "partial contains 5.8S ribosomal RNA, internal transcribed spacer 2, and large subunit ribosomal RNA". The stretch from base 1 to 120 matches the Rfam family "5.8S ribosomal RNA", at positions 35 to 154 of the family's 154-position model. The record is from RNAcentral.
GAUGAAGAACGCAGCGAAAUGCGAUACGUAAUGUGAAUUGCAGAAUUCAGUGAAUCAUCGAGUCUUUGAACGCACAUUGCGCCCCCUGGUAUUCCGGGGGGCAUGCCUGUCCGAGCGUCGUUUCAACCCUCGAGCCCCCGUGGCCCGGCGUUGGGGAUCUGCCCAGGCAGUCCCCGAAAACCAGUGGCGGACCCGUUACAGGCCCUUCCCUUGCGUAGUAGCAUUCGCCUCGCAUCGGGAGCCGGCGGGCUUCCAGCCUCUAAACCCCCAUCAAGUCCGCCCCGGCGGCACCAAGGUUGACCUCGGAUCAGGUAGGAAUACCCGCUGAACUUAAGCAUAUCAAUAAGCGGAGGA